This 253-nucleotide ribosomal RNA is filed under the name uncultured bacterium. RNAcentral describes it as "partial 16S ribosomal RNA". It matches the Rfam family "Bacterial small subunit ribosomal RNA", at positions 524 to 776 of the family's 1533-position model. The record is from RNAcentral.
UACGGAGGGUGCAAGCGUUAUCCGGAUUCACUGGGUUUAAAGGGUGCGUAGGCGGACAGGUAAGUCAGUGGUGAAAUCUCUGGGCUUAACCCAGAAACUGCCGUUGAUACUAUUUGUCUUGAAUAUCCUGGAGGUAGGCGGAAUAUGUCAUGUAGCGGUGAAAUGCUUAGAUAUGACAUAGAACACCAAUUGCGAAGGCAGCUUACUACACAGUCAUUGACACUGAGGCACGAAAGCGUGGGGAUCAAACAGG